GAUUAAACUGAAGAGUUUGAUCCUGGCUCAGAUUGAACGCUGGCGGCAUGCCUAACACAUGCAAGUCGAACGGUAACAGGUCUAGCUUGCUAGACGCUGACGAGUGGCGGACGGGUGAGUAAUGCAUAGGAAUCUGCCCAGUAGCGGGGGACAACUCGGGGAAACUCGAGCUAAUACCGCAUACGCCCUACGGGGGAAAGCGGGGGACCUUCGGGCCUCGCACUAUUGGAUGAGCCUAUGUCUGAUUAGCUAGUUGGUAGAGUAACGGCCUACCAAGGCGACGAUCAGUAGCUGGUCUGAGAGGACGAUCAGCCACACUGGAACUGAGACACGGUCCAGACUCCUACGGGAGGCAGCAGUGGGGAAUAUUGGACAAUGGGGGCAACCCUGAUCCAGCAAUGCCGCGUGUGUGAAGAAGGCCUGCGGGUU
Molecule: ribosomal RNA, 429 nt
Filed under: Gammaproteobacteria bacterium RIFCSPLOWO2_02_FULL_47_50
Lineage: Bacteria; Pseudomonadati; Pseudomonadota; Gammaproteobacteria
Description: bacterial SSU rRNA
Rfam family: Bacterial small subunit ribosomal RNA
Source: RNAcentral